CUUGAAGGGUACUCGAGUGGCGAACGGGUGAGUAACACGUGGGUGAUCUGCCCUGCACUUCGGGAUAAGCUUGGGAAACUGGGUCUAAUACCGGAUAGGAACCAUCUUUAGUGUGGUGGUUGGAAAGUUUUUUCGGUGUAGGAUGAGCUCGCGGCCUAUCAGCUUGUUGGUGGGGUAAUGGCCUACCAAGGCGGCGACGGGUAGCCGGCCUGAGAGGGUGUACGGCCACAUUGGGACUGAGAUACGGCCCAG
RNAcentral lists this ribosomal RNA (252 nucleotides) under uncultured Actinomycetales bacterium. RNAcentral describes it as "partial 16S ribosomal RNA". It matches the Rfam family "Bacterial small subunit ribosomal RNA", at positions 79 to 334 of the family's 1533-position model. The record is from RNAcentral. Lineage: Bacteria; Bacillati; Actinomycetota; Actinomycetes; Actinomycetales.